GUGAGACAGGUGCUGCAUGGCUGUCGUCAGCUCGUGUUGUGAAAUGUUGGGUUAAGUCCCGCAACGAGCGCAACCCUUAUCCUUUGUUGCCAGCGAUUAGGUCGGGAACUCAAAGGAGACUGCCAGUGAUAAACUGGAGGAAGGUGGGGAUGACGUCAAGUCAUCAUGGCCCUUACGACCAGGGCUACACACGUGCUACAAUGGCGCAUACAAAGAGAAGCGACCGCGC
Molecule: ribosomal RNA, 229 nt
Filed under: Salmonella enterica subsp. enterica serovar Anatum
Lineage: Bacteria; Pseudomonadati; Pseudomonadota; Gammaproteobacteria; Enterobacterales; Enterobacteriaceae
Description: partial 16S ribosomal RNA
Rfam family: Bacterial small subunit ribosomal RNA
Source: RNAcentral